GGAUUAGAUACCCUGGUAGUCCACGCCGUAAACGAUGAUAACUGGUUGUGUGCGAUACACAGUGCGCGACUGAGCGAAAGCAUUAAGUUAUCCACCUGGGGAGUACGUUGGCAACAAUGAAACUCAAAGGAAUUGACGGGGGCCCGCACAAGCGGAGGAACAUGUGGUUUAAUUCGAUGAUACGCGAGGAACCUUACCUGGGCUUAAAUGUAGAGUGCAUGAUUUGGAAACAGAUCUUUCCUUCGGGACCCUUUACAAGGUGCUGCAUGGUUGUCGUCAGCUCGUGCCG
Molecule: ribosomal RNA, 289 nt
Filed under: uncultured bacterium
Lineage: Bacteria
Description: partial 16S ribosomal RNA
Rfam family: Bacterial small subunit ribosomal RNA
Source: RNAcentral